GCAUCGGACAGUAUUGCCAAUACAAUUUUAUUAAAAAUGGGUCUUUCUCUUUAUAAUUUUUGAAAAAGAGCCAAUUUCCAUUUCAUUUGCACAAAACUAUGUUACUUUCUAAGCCUUUACUCUGAAAGCUCCAGAGAAGUGGCUUCUGAACAGCAACGAGGAAGUACGUUCAACUGACGCAUCCGGUGAGAAAAAAGAAAGACAUACUGACAAGUCCACCGUGUUGCCACGUUGCCAGAGUCCCGUCUGUUUCACUGGUGAAUUCUGUCACCUCAGCCAAAGUACGGAAGGACGUGGAAUCCCCAUGCUUCGUUAGCAGCGCACAUGUUCUGGAGAACUCACAUGUAGGGCAGUACCAGUAGCUACGUGUCAGGAGGAAGUGGUCACUCCGUCCCAGGAAUUCACAGCUUUUGAAGAAGAUUUGGGGGCGAGUACUCAACAAUCGGAGAUCCAUCCGAAGGAGUGCAUGCAAGCAGAAUCUGGGACACUGCAAAAUGCAUUUACUCAGCCACUCUAUGAAUGUCCCUGUUCGCAUGAUGCCACUCUACGAACCACAAAGACGCAAGAACAAUAGACCCCAAGUCUCGUAAUUUGGCCUGGAGGCAUCAUCUCUGGAGAAUAUUCUUGAAAAUCGACUUUAUGAGUCCGUGGAUAUAUGGGCAUUUGUAAGAGCUUGUGUGCACCUGAGACUUUGCCGUUCCCAAUAUUUUCCAUGCUUCUGGAAGUCUUCACAAGGGCCCUCUGGUAGCAAGUUUUUAUGACAGAAGAACGCUCUGUAGGUACUGUGAUGUCCAGUUCAUGUCUGUAACUACCACAUAAGUAGUUGAUAUGGGUUGCAUUUUGUCCCUUCCAAAUGCAUAUAUUGAAAUGCCACCCCCUUGUAGCUCAGGAUGUGACUUGAUGUGGAGAUAGGGUCACUGCAGCUAUGAUGAGCUCAACUGCCAUGAAGUCCUCCUGGACUGGGAUGGAACCUUGAUCCAGAAUGACCGGUGUCUUACCAACAGAGGAAAUGUGUACCCAGAGACAUGCACAGAGGAGGAACACGACGUGGACAUUGGUCAUAUGCCUCCGUCAACUCAGAAACGAGCGAGAGUCUUGAGAAAGAGCGUGGCCCUGCUGGCUGGUCUUGAACUUGUCUCCUCCAACAGUGUAAGAAAAUAAUGGUGGUUAAAGUCACUCGGUUCCGCACACUUUGC
This 1196-nucleotide long non-coding RNA is filed under the name Felis catus (domestic cat). RNAcentral's name for it is "lncRNA (ENSFCAG00000040694.2)". Lineage: Eukaryota; Metazoa; Chordata; Mammalia; Carnivora; Felidae. The record is from RNAcentral.